GAUGAACGCUAGCUACAGGCUUAACACAUGCAAGUCGAGGGGAAACGACAUCGAAAGCUUGCUUUUGAUGGGCGUCGACCGGCGCACGGGUGAGUAACGCGUAUCCAACCUGCCCACCACUUGGGGAUAACCUUGCGAAAGUAAGACUAAUACCCGAUGAUAUCUCUAGACGACAUCUGAAAGGGAUUAAAGAUUUAUCGGUGAUGGAUGGGGAUGCGUCUGAUUAGCUUGUUGGCGGGGUAACGGCCCACCAAGGCAACGAUCAGUAGGGGUUCUGAGAGGAAGGUCCCCCACAUUGGAACUGAGACACGGUCCAAACUCCUACGGGAGGCAGCAGUGAGGAAUAUUGGUCAAUGGACGCAAGUCUGAACCAGCCAAGUAGCGUGCAGGAUGACGGCCCUAUGGGUUGUAAACUGCUUUUAUGCGGGGAUAAAGUGUGGGACGUGUCCCAUUUUGUAGGUACCGCAUGAAUAAGGACCGGCUAAUUCCGUG
RNAcentral lists this ribosomal RNA (492 nucleotides) under uncultured bacterium. RNAcentral describes it as "bacterial SSU rRNA". It matches the Rfam family "Bacterial small subunit ribosomal RNA", at positions 28 to 507 of the family's 1533-position model. The record is from RNAcentral.